Non-coding RNA from Clonostachys byssicola, 72 nucleotides. NCBI's taxonomy places the organism in Eukaryota, Fungi, Ascomycota, Sordariomycetes, Hypocreales, Bionectriaceae. The record is from the annotation of a GenBank genome assembly.
GGUCUGGUGGUCUAGUGGUAUGAUUCGCGCUUAGGGUGCGCGAGGUCCCGGGUUCAAUCCCCGGCCAGACCC